GGCUGUCAUGCCCAUGUGUGGCUAUGACAUAACGACUGCCUUGACUGGCAGUAUUACAUCCUCAAAGCCUGUUAAACAGCCAGAAUUAUCUACCUAGUUUUCUACUGGACGGCUUGUCCUUUUCUGCUUAAUUUCCCAUUGGAUGUCUUGUUGGCUUCCUGAUAAAUUAUAUUCGUGAGGAUACAUGCUGCAGCUGCUCACAGAACAUCUUGUAGAGGAGGACAACAUCUUGUAGAGGAUGAGAGGCCUUGCUACAUGUCUAGAAUAUGAGGACUGGGCUGAGAAGUAUGGCCUAGCUUCAGGGUCAAGGGAAGUUUGAGGGAGAAGGAGGGAAGGAGAGAGGGAAAAGAGAGCAGUGGUGGAUGAAAGUGACCUUUCACAUCCUGUAAUUAAAGGAAAUCUUGUUAUUGCUGAUACCACAUAUAAAAAUGAUGUAGUUACAGUGAUAUGUCCGGACUGACCUCAGAAGAGACAGAGCUAUGAUAAAGCCACCCUGAGCUUCAUUUGGAACAAAUAUAUUGGGGUCAAAGAAUGUAGCUGCAGAAUAAAGUAGUAGCUUAUAGUUUG
This is a long non-coding RNA of Passer domesticus (house sparrow), 567 nucleotides long. RefSeq lists it as uncharacterized. The transcript has 2 exons. NCBI's taxonomy places the organism in Eukaryota, Metazoa, Chordata, Aves, Passeriformes, Passeridae. The record is from RefSeq and is a predicted model, not a curated record.